This 676-nucleotide long non-coding RNA is filed under the name Sus scrofa (pig). RNAcentral's name for it is "lncRNA (ENSSSCG00035042442.1)". The record is from RNAcentral. Lineage: Eukaryota; Metazoa; Chordata; Mammalia; Artiodactyla; Suidae.
GCUUAAGGGACAAUACAAACAACCAAAAAACUUGAACAAUUUUUUUGUUUUCCUCAGUAUUUAAAAAAAGAAAACUUCCAAAUAAUUUUCAGAUGGGUGGCAUUACUACUGAUAUUUAUAAUUAAAAAUUAAUCUGGGGUUGAAACAAGACUACUUAUUUUUACAGGUACCAUCUGGUCUCAGCAGAUAUUAAGCUUGAUUUGUUUUGAGGGACAUCAUAACAGCACUGAAACAGGGGAUGCACACCAUAAGGAUAUCAGAACUUCUGUGCUUAAAAUCAUCAGUUUUCUUGUGAAAGAACUGAAUGAAGACAACAUGGACGCUGUUGUAAACCAGGCAACAUUUCAGAACAUGAAGCUUCAUCUGCAAGCUAAUUAUGUUUGUGUUCUGAAACAAAAUCAGGGCAAUAACAAAUGAGGAAAAUUUCCUGAGCAAAGGUACCAUCAGAGACUGGAAGCAUCACUUGACUGUGGACCAAAUGAAGUAUUUGAGAGAAUAUUCCAAAGGGAGAUGAAAGAUUUUCCUUUGAAGUUCAUCUGGGAUACAAAUGAGGAGUAGAAUCAGUACAAAAAAAUCAUAUAAAAAUCUGCUAACUAGAGAGCAUAUUUUAAUAUACAACACUAAUUUGUGAUUCUUAUUGGAAUGUUAAUUAUAAAAUUUUGUUGAUAAACAAAAU